This 74-nucleotide transfer RNA is filed under the name Shewanella algae. Its description in RNAcentral is "tRNA-Asn". It matches the Rfam family "tRNA". Rfam says of the family: Transfer RNA (tRNA) molecules are approximately 80 nucleotides in length. Their secondary structure includes four short double-helical elements and three loops (D, anti-codon, and T loops). Further hydrogen bonds mediate the characteristic L-shaped molecular structure. tRNAs have two regions of fundamental functional importance: the anti-codon, which is responsible for specific mRNA codon recognition, and the 3' end, to which the tRNAs corresponding amino acid is attached (by aminoacyl-tRNA synthetases). tRNAs cope with the degeneracy of the genetic code in two manners: having more than one tRNA (with a specific anti-codon) for a particular amino acid; and 'wobble' base-pairing, i.e. permitting non-standard base-pairing at the 3rd anti-codon position. Lineage: Bacteria; Pseudomonadati; Pseudomonadota; Gammaproteobacteria; Alteromonadales; Shewanellaceae. The record is from RNAcentral.
AUACAGGUAGCUCAAAUUGGUAGAGCAUCGAAGUGUUAAUUCGAUUGUUGUGGGUUCAAAUCCCGCCCUAAAUU